Molecule: ribosomal RNA, 530 nt
Filed under: uncultured Nitrososphaerota archaeon
Lineage: Archaea; Thermoproteati; Nitrososphaerota
Description: bacterial SSU rRNA
Rfam family: Archaeal small subunit ribosomal RNA
Source: RNAcentral
UCUGGUGUCAGCCGCCGCGGUAAAACCAGCACCUCAAGUGGUCAGGAUGAUUAUUGGGCCUAAAGCAUCCGUAGCCUGCUUUGUUAGUUUUCGGUUAAAUCCAUACGCUCAACGUAUGGGCUGCCGGGAAUACUGCAAAGCUAGGGAGUGGGAGAGGUAGACGGUACUCGGUAGGAAGGGGUAAAAUCCUUUGAUCUAUUGAUGACCACCUGUGGCGAAGGCGGUCUACCAGAACACGUCCGACGGUGAGGGAUGAAAGCUGGGGGAGCAAACCGGAUUAGAUACCCGGGUAGUCCCAGCUGUAAACUAUGCAAACUCGGUGAUGCAUUGGCUUGAUGCCAAUGCAGUGCCGCAGGGAAGCCGUUAAGUUUGCCGCCUGGGAAGUACGUACGCAAGUAUGAAACUUAAAGGAAUUGGCGGGGGAGCACCACAAGGGGUGAAGCCUGCGGUUCAAUUGGAGUCAACGCCAGAAAUCUUACCCGGAGAGACAGCGGAAUGAAGGUCAAGCUGAAGACUUUACCAGACAAGCU